GAUUUUGUCUUUUUACAUUUCUGUUUUUCUUGUUUUUUUAUCUUCCAAAAUCCAUUAUACCAUAUAGCAGUCAUUGUUUUUUCCACAACAGUUUUUUCCAUUGCCGUUUCCCGUCAGAUUUUGCGUGUCACGUUGCAUAAACGUCUGUGUUGUGUCACUCUGUUAUGAUUUUACGUGAAACAGAGCACCUCUCUCUCUCUCUCUCAUCCUCAUCUCUGUUUGUAAUUUGUUCCAGUUGCUCGGUUUAUUUCUUAUUGUUUUCUGGGAAAUGGUUUGAUUAAAAAUGGAUUCAUUAUUCUAUAGUUUGACAGUUUGACUCAGCAGGUUUAUGAAAGACGCUAAAAUGAAGCAAGCAGGUUGAUGCUUAUCGGGGAGACGGACAGAGCUUCCAAUUUUUGACUCAACCAGCAGCAUGUAUAGAUUCGAUCGAUGGGAUGGGAUGGGAUGGCAAGCAGAACUGGAGUGUGGAGAAACAGCAUCGGAAUCUUUAUUGAUGGAAUUGGGGAGAAAACCAUGAAAAUACAUAAUCGUGUCCCAUACGUGACAGCUGGUGCUCGUUGCCUAGCUACUACUGGUUCAUGAAGCUGCACGUAAUUAGUUUAACCUAAGAUAUUUAAACUCUAAAUAUAAAAACAAACAAAUGAAAAUAAAUAAAAGAAAAACACAGAUGACAGCUGCUGAUAGAGAUUUGAAUAGAGGCCGUCCGCAGUCCACUCACGUAGCAUUCACAAAGGGAUGAGAUGAGAUUCCCUUGGCCCUUCAUUUCAGAUGAUUCCCAAUUAACCAAUUAAUUUAUGGAAAUUUAGAAAGGAGACAAAUCUGAAAGAGAUUUGAUGGAGCAUUGUUAGGUAUCGUGUGGGUAAUAUUUAAUUAAGUAAGGGAUAAUUAAAGUGGUUUAAGGAUGAUCCCAUCCCUAUAGGCUAUACCUCUCUGCCUGCCCCCACCAUGUAUGUGAUCCUUUUUAUCUCGUCUUUGUUAAAAAAUAGAAAUGUGGGACUAAGCUAUAGAUAGAGAGAUCAUCAACUUUGAAUCAUCUUUUGACAAAGUGUUAAAUUUCGGUUUCAGAGAGGAUGGUAAUUGGCUCACUACUAGCAGCACCGAUAUUAUUUAAAAUUUAAUUACUUAUAAAGUUCAGUAUGUGUGUGGUUUUAACACAAAAGGACUCAUGAUAUUAAUAGUGAAACCAUUUAUUAUAUUUUUUAUUUUAUUUAGUCAAAUUUCCUAUAUGAGACUUAUAUAAGAAGAAUUGGAGACGGAGAAAAACAUAAUAUUAAUAUAUAUAUAUAUAAAU
Molecule: non-coding RNA, 1291 nt
Organism: Prunus avium (sweet cherry)
Lineage: Eukaryota; Viridiplantae; Streptophyta; Magnoliopsida; Rosales; Rosaceae
Source: RefSeq, a predicted model, not a curated record